CCUCCUCCCCUCCCUCCAUGUUCUCCGGAUAAGCUCCGGGUUUCUACUGAGGGCGGGCGGGCGGCCAGCUGGGGAUGGGGUGGCUCGCGGAAUGCAGGGAAAGGGGUCUCUGGAGGGAAGAAUUCCGCCGAAGUUGCCAGGAGGUGUUUCUGUCUCGAAGCGGCAGGCUCUGUGCGGAGGGGGUCUGCAUAGACGCGGCUGGGCUGUGGGGUGGGGCAGAGAGACCGUAGAUCGCGGACAGAAGACCGAAGAGAGACGGGGCUGAGGAGCUGCGGCAGAAGGGAAGGAACGAGAGAAGGCAAGAGGCCGAGCCGCACCGUCCCCUGUUCCCUCCGCGCCAGGAGCCUCCGAGACUCGGCCCAGCCCGCAGCCGCGACCCCGCGGGCCUCCGCCGCCCCUCGGCCCAGGCCUCCGGCCGCGCUCCCCGAUCCAUCAGCCGGUUCUGCUGUCGGAGACUCAACCCUGGAGAACAUCAAGCGGGCGGUCUUCGGCAGGCUAUUGGAAGAAUUGUCGGUUUCACUGCUUGAGUCCUUCAAGAGUGAUGAGCCCUCCAUUUUGGACUUCCCUGAUGGUGCAGUGGUGAAGAAUCUGCCUGCCAAUGGAGGGGACACGGGUUCGAGCCCGGGUCCGGGAAGAUCCCACAUGCUGCGGAGCAACUAAGCCCGUGCGCCACAACUACUGAGCCUGCGCUCUAGAGCCCGCAAGCCAUGACUACUGAAGCCUGUGCGCCUAGAGUCUGUGCUCCACAACAAGAGAAGCCACAGCAAUGAGAAGCCCGUGCACUGCAACAGAGUGGCCCCACUCGCCGCAACUAGAGAAAGCCCGCAUGCAGCAACGAAGACCCAACGCAGCCGAAAAUAAAUAAAUUUAUAUUAAAAACAUCAUUUAAAAAUUUUAAUUUAAUUUAAAUCAAUUUAAAUUAAAAUAGUCACAUGUGGCUAGUGGCUUCCG
Globicephala melas (long-finned pilot whale) is the source of this 951-nucleotide long non-coding RNA. RefSeq lists it as uncharacterized. The record is from RefSeq and is a predicted model, not a curated record. NCBI's taxonomy places the organism in Eukaryota, Metazoa, Chordata, Mammalia, Artiodactyla, Delphinidae.